Molecule: long non-coding RNA, 262 nt
Filed under: Dromaius novaehollandiae (emu)
Lineage: Eukaryota; Metazoa; Chordata; Aves; Casuariiformes; Dromaiidae
Description: lncRNA (ENSDNVG00000010764.1)
Source: RNAcentral
AGGUAUGUAUUCUUUUUAACAGAAUGUCUUUUCUUUGUUCUAUUUCAGAAGAAAAAAUGGUGACUGAGUUGUACAGRAGAACCAGGACAAUCCAAAAAGGGCAGGUGGCUGCUGGGAAGCUACUGCAGGAAAGGAGGUUUACUAACGUGUUCGAGGCCUGGAAUUACGCAGUGGAGCAGUAUAUUUUAGAAGCUAUGGAGAAAGUUCAGAACAACAUGGCUAAAAGGUGCGUUGCUCAGAAACAUAGGCCUUUUGCUUAGCU